This 369-nucleotide ribosomal RNA is filed under the name uncultured bacterium. Its description in RNAcentral is "partial 16S ribosomal RNA". It matches the Rfam family "Bacterial small subunit ribosomal RNA", at positions 355 to 716 of the family's 1533-position model. The record is from RNAcentral.
UGGGGAAUUUUGGACAAUGGGCGCAAGCCUGAUCCAGCCAUGCCGCGUGCGGGAAGAAGGCCUUCGGGUUGUAAACCGCUUUUGUCAGGGAAGAAACCUUCUGAGUUAAUACCUCGGGAGGAUGACGGUACCUGAAGAAUAAGCACCGGCUAACUACGUGCCAGCAGCCGCGGUAAUACGUAGGGUGCAAGCGUUAAUCGGAAUUACUGGGCGUAAAGCGUGCGCAGGCGGUUUUGUAAGACAGAGGUGAAAUCCCCGGGCUCAACCUGGGAACUGCCUUUGUGACUGCAAGGCUUGAGUGCGGCAGAGGGGGAUGGAAUUCCGCGUGUAGCAGUGAAAUGCGUAGAUAUGCGGAGGAACACCGAUGGC